AAGCGCACGGCUCAGUAACACGUAGUCAACCUGCCCUGUAGACGCGGACAACUUCGGGAAACUGCGGCUAAUACGCGAUAGGUGAUAGCAUCUGGAAGGAGGCAUCUCCCAAAGGUGUGGAGCGGGUAUGUUCCGCAUGCGCUCCAGGAUGGGACUGCGGCCGAUCAGGCUGUAGGCGGGGUAAUGGCCCACCAAACCUGUAACCGGUACGGGCUUUGAGAGAAGGAGCUCGGAGAUGGACACAGAAACACAGGUCCACGCCCAACGGGGCGCAUCAGGCGCGGAAACUUCGCAAUGCGCGAAAGCGUGACGAGGCUAAUCCGAGUGCUGUCCGCUGAGGAUAGCUUUUCCUGUCUGUACAUAGGCUGGGGAAUAAGGGGAGGGCAAGUCUGGUGUCAGCCGCCGCGGUAAUACCAGCUCCUCGAGUGGUCGGGGAUUUUAUUGGGCCUAAAGCACCCGUAGCCGGUCUAGUAAGUCUUUCGUUAAAUCCAAUCGCUUAACGGUUGAGCUGCAGAAGAUACUGCUAGACUAGGAGGCGGGAGAGACGGACGGUACUCAACGUGUAGGGGUAAAAUCCUUUGAUCCACGGAAGACCACCAGUGGCGAAGGCGGUCUACCAGAACGCGCUCGACGGUGAGGGAUGAAAGCUGGGGGAGCGAACCGGAUUAGAUACCCGGGUAGUCCCAGCUGUAAACGAUGCGAGCUAGAUGUUCAGUCUCUAGUUAUCGCAGUGCCCCAGGGAAGCCGUUAAGCUCGCCGCCUGGGAAUAACGUCCGGCAGGCUGAACUCA
RNAcentral lists this ribosomal RNA (790 nucleotides) under uncultured soil archaeon. RNAcentral's name for it is "bacterial SSU rRNA". It matches the Rfam family "Archaeal small subunit ribosomal RNA", at positions 79 to 858 of the family's 1478-position model. The record is from RNAcentral.